Molecule: ribosomal RNA, 254 nt
Filed under: uncultured bacterium
Lineage: Bacteria
Description: partial 16S ribosomal RNA
Rfam family: Bacterial small subunit ribosomal RNA
Source: RNAcentral
GGCGAACCGUGCGAACGUUAUUCGGAAUCACUGGGCUUAAAGCGCGUGUAGGCGGAUGGGGACGUCGGUCGCUGAAAUCCCCCGGCUCAACCGGGGAACGGGCGCCGAAACGCCCCGUCUCGAGGGACGUAGGGGGACCUGGAACUUCCGGUGGAGCGGUGAAAUGCGUUGAGAUCGGAAGGAACGCCCGUGGCGAAAGCGAGGUCCUGGACGUCUACUGACGCUGAGACGCGAAAGCUAGGGGAGCGAACGGG